CCGAAAAGGUAUCACAUGCCAAGU
Molecule: non-coding RNA, 24 nt
Filed under: Arabidopsis thaliana (thale cress)
Lineage: Eukaryota; Viridiplantae; Streptophyta; Magnoliopsida; Brassicales; Brassicaceae
Source: RNAcentral